This 2368-nucleotide long non-coding RNA is filed under the name Sus scrofa (pig). Its description in RNAcentral is "lncRNA (ENSSSCG00030054899.1)". Lineage: Eukaryota; Metazoa; Chordata; Mammalia; Artiodactyla; Suidae. The record is from RNAcentral.
ACAGCUGAAGGGACACGGACAGGAGAAAGUCCCAAAUGGUCACAGGGUUGGGCUUCCUGGACGUGCUAUCCCUGCCUUCACUGGACGGCGGAUGGGUGGAGGGAGCUGGAAGGCAGGAGGAAACCCCCAAGUGUGUUAUGUCUGGUUCUCAGUUUCCCUGAGGAAGGAACUGAGGCAGCAGGAAAGGACCUAGGAGCCCCAGGUGCUCCCUCAGAGACCCCGCACCUACCCGGAAGCGGCCAUCCCACGUGGCCCCUGGUGGGUACCUGGCAGAGAGGCCCAGGCUGGUCCUGGACAGUCCAGCUGCCUCUGCCCCCCUCUCCCUGCCCAUCUGGGCUUGGCGCUGCUGCUCUGCUGUGUCCUUGCUUUAACCAGCUGCCUGCCUGGCACAGAGGACUUCUGCUGGACCCUCUGGGUCCUCGGGCUGGGGCCGGCGAGGGAGUUGAGUCUGUUUACUCCACGCUACCCCCGGCCCCACUCCCUCCCCGCUCCCCCCUCCCGCUUCUCCCCUCCCCUCCAUGGCACAAGGCAGAGCACUCAGUUAGAUUAAUUAAUCUGCUGCCCAGGCUGCUCCUCCGACCCAUCUUUUAUUCAUGGACAAGCAGCGUUCUCUGCUUUACCAGGACACGACCAUCAAUAUUUCAUCCUCGCCUCGCCUGCCAGCCUCCUGCUCCCCCCUUCCUGCCUCCCACCCGCUCUAAGACCCUGGGCGGGGGCAAGCGGGCCUAGCCCAGGGCGUCCUCACAGAUGCCCCUCAGCCUGCUCUCCGUGCCAUCGUUGGCAGAGCCAGCGUCCGAGCCAGAAGGCUUUCUGAGUAAGUGAGCUGGGGAGGCGGCUCCAGCAGGAUCAGGUGGGGUUGAGGGUGUGUGUGUGGCGGGGUGGUGCUGUAGCUGCCAUGAUGGUUUUGCCACCGUAUUGCUGAGUGGUUGUCAGGAUAGGAGAUGAGGGUUGUGCCUGGCACAGAUCUGGGCCCAUGGCAAGUGCUCAUUUUCCUGCCUUCAUUUUCCCCUUAGAUCAGGUGUUAAUCAGUGUGUUUUUCCACCCCCAUUCUAGGCGGUUGGAUGAAGGAAGUGAUGCCAGAGUUCAGGAGCACACCUUCCCUUCGCCAGCACCCAGCCCAUCUCACCUGUCUGCUUCGGGGCUCUCCAGCCUUCCGUGUGGCUGCUCAGGACCACAGGGGCUGAACCUCAGAUCUGGAGGGGCCCUUACCUGUAUCCUUGCCUGGGGUCCAUGGAGACCCUCUCUCAGGGGGUGUGAACCCUUGAAAUCACUAAAGCCAUGAAUGGGGUAUGUGUGUGUACGUGUAUAUGUGUUUUCAGGGAAGGGAGCAGCCCUGGCUUCCAUCAGAUUCUCAGUGGAGUCUCUAAGCCAUAAAAUGUUACAAACUACUAAAAUCUAGGCAGGUCAGAUCUCCUCUUCUUGGUGUGGAGGGAAGAGAAUGAAUGGGAUUACUCGUUCAGGGAGCCACCUCUGAGGUUUGAGUGAGUGUGGUGGGUGCUGAGGGGUGCUGGGGUCACAGAGGGAUGCCCUGCAGUCCUGCCCUGGAGGUGCUGGCAGAGUGUGGAGCCGGGAUGGAAGCAGUAACUCUCAGGUGGCCUUUGGACAGGCUGUGGGUCUUUCUCAGGCUGGUGGCUGGUGGCUGGCACUUUAUCUCUGCGUUGGGACUGGGGUCCAAGCGCCUGCUGAGCUGAGCCCUUGGGUGGGGGCUAGGAAUUGCUCUGUCCCUGGCUUGUGCAGAAAGGCAGAGCACCGAAUGCCCCUCUCUCCGUGAGGGCCAGCUGAGGCGUCCUAUUGUCCUCCUUUCAUCACACCCUGUACCGGAUCCAUCAGGAACCCCUACCUGCUAACCCUCCAAUACUUCUGGAAUCUGACCUCUCCCGCCUUUGGCUGCCACCUGGUCUCUGCCCCACUGUGGCCUCUGCCUGGUCUCUCACUCUCUCCUAUGUGCCCUACAGCCUGUGCUCAGCGCAGCAGCCGUGACCUCUCUGGCCAUGAGCCCACCUGGCCUGCACCUGGCUCACCUGUGCCAGCCACCCUGACCCCCACAUGCCAGCAGGCUCCACCUGGGCCUCUGCACCUUUUCUCUCCCAAGCGUCCUCCUGGCUCACUCUCUCACCUCCUUCUGGUCUCUGCUGAGGUGCCACUCAGCCCCACCCCUCAACCCCUGACUUUUAAUUCCUCCCCCAGCACACAUCGUCUCCCAGCAUCCUGCUUACUCUGUUGUCCACAAUCGCUGUAUACAUUUCGUUUCCUGCUCACACAAUGAAAGCUCCCUGAGGGCAGGAACUUUAAGAUUUUGUUCACUGAUUCAUCCCAGAGGAGUGCUCACUAGGAAGGGGCUCAAUAAAUAUUGUGGGAUGAAUGAACA